This is a long non-coding RNA of Passer domesticus (house sparrow), 3553 nucleotides long. RefSeq lists it as uncharacterized. The transcript has 6 exons. Lineage: Eukaryota; Metazoa; Chordata; Aves; Passeriformes; Passeridae. The record is from RefSeq and is a predicted model, not a curated record.
GCUGAUCCCGGGCCUGAGGCCGAGGGGAAAGGCCGGGGGCAGGAAUCACAAUUGCAGGAGUACCGGUGGAAGUCUGAGUGCUUUCCUGGGGUCAGAAAUAUUGUGAGAGAUGAGGUAUUAAAUGAACCAGUUAAAAACCUCAAGUGGGUUUAGCUUUAACUUUUAACCCAUUCCAAGUGGGUUUUCAUGCCUUCGUGAUUGCUGUACUUAAAUUACCAGGUAUACCUCUCAUUUCAGCAGACACUUUGCUAAGUUUUCAAAUAAUGUUUAAUUUAUAUUCUGUUUCUUUUAAACUACGUGCUGCAGAGCAAUAACAAAAAUUUAGGACAACUUCUUUUCAAAACAGAACCAAACCAGGUAGCCUACUCUUAGAAAAGCUGAAAAAACUGAAAUACUGGGAGCUAAGCAGCUUGCAAAAAGUGUGCUAGUUAGAGCUUUGUAACAUGGACAUAAACAUAAAGUUUCAUGUGCCUUUCUUAUAUUACCAAGUAGUAUGUUUUAAAACUCUAGUUUGCCCUGGAGUUGUGAAAAACAUUAAAUAUGUUGCCAAUUGAAAAUGUGACUGUUCACUUUAAGUGUCACCUGUAAAUUAAAAAUUAUAUAGAAAAUCAAACUGAAAAGAGAAAUUCAUUAAAUUGAAAUAAGCCCAAGUGAAUAAGUGCAAUAUCUCACUCAAAUGAAAAAGCAUAGGGCAAGAGCUUGUUUUCUGGAGACUUUUUGUCCUCCCUAUGUAGCUUUUUUGUCCGACAUUUCUAAAUGGCAUAAAUGCUUACAAGUUCUGGGUAUUUUCAAUUACUAUUGUUAGACAGAAAACCAGCUUCAGUUUCUUCAAACCUUAUUUCAUUGAAUGUGUCUGAGUCAUAGGAAAAGUCAUUCCAUCAUGUCUAGAAACUGUUUUUACUCAGAGCACUUGUCAGGAAAGAAAAUAAACAAGUAUUAGUUCCUGCCACCAUUCAUUUCAGAACAGUUACAACCAAUAUAAUUAGGUCUCGGAUUUUUUUUUUUUUUAAAAAGGUCUGAAUGAAAAGAUAUAAGAUUAUAUAUGUCAGUUGCUGAACAUUUGGCAUGAACAGCUUUUCCAACACUUGCUCUGGUUAUUAUAAGGUUCGAGUUGUAAAUGACUGCAUUCAGCAGCAAACCUGUCAGGUUGGAGAGCUUUUCAUUAAAUGUUUGAUCUAGAAUUUUUUAAUCAGUGCACAAAUAAAACAAAUUAUUAAAGCUCUACAUCAGCUGCAGUAUGUGUAAUUGGGAUGAACGGGGUGAUGUAACUGGUGGGGAACAGCACAAGCAUUCUUGACUGAAGGCCUGGAGCUACAGAACUUGUUACCAUUGGAGAUGAAACAGAGCCUCAGUCUUAACCUGUAUCUUGAAAAUGGUAAGAUACAACUAUUAAAGACAUUCCCAAAUAACCUGGUGAUAAAUCAUGUACCUUGCAGGGCUUUGUUGGAGAAGCUGGGGAGGGAUCACCUUCUAGAGUACUUUGUGUUUCUGUGGGGAUGGAGUGUUUACUGAAAGCACGUGAGAUUUUAUUUAUAAAAGGAAAAAUAAGCAUUUUGUAUUCUUAAGCUUUUUACUGCUGCCCUCUGUCUUAAGGAUCUUUAGGAAGUUAUUGAAUAUAAACUACUUUGUGAUUUUAGUGCAUUAAUCAGGAGUAGUAGUUGUAACUGGGCUGAAAUCAAUGGACCUACUAUGUCUUCAGUAGUUGAGAUAUCGAUACAAGUUAUAACAACAUUUUAGCUUAAAAACGGGAGGUUUUUUAUCUUGUUUGGUUAGUGAAAUUGCUAAAAAUACCAGAAAUGAGCUGUUGCAAGUAGAAUAACAAUGAAAAAGGCAGCUAAUUUAGAUUAAAAGCCAAUGCCACAUAACAAUCAGAUACAAAUUUUAGGGUGUUUUUGUUUAAUACUUAUAUCUAGACUAAGAUAAAACAUUUUUAGUUUUUAAGUUUUGCUUCUGUAGUUUUAGAGUUUAAGUUAAGACAGAAUACAAAUGCGGGGACUAAUGUUUUGCUUAGAAGUCUGCAGUAAAGCUAAAGUUUCACAGCUGAGAAAUCUGCCUUUUGUCUCUCCAUCAGAGAGUGUUGCUGCAGGUUUGUGUGCUUGAAGUCAGCAGCUGAGGUAUUUUUGUUAAAGAGAACCAGCUCUAUCGCUGUCUGGCCAUUUGAUUUCCAUUCUAGCCCUGUGAUCUUUACAGCACUGUUUAUUUCAUGCUACCUUGCACUGAGCGUCAUCGGAUCUUCUGGCAAGGGUUGCGUCGUUUUUCUUUCCUGACAUUCGCUAUUUAUCUUCGCUACUGAAACAAUACUUGAAACCCUUUAGAGGGCGUUGUGAGACUUUUAUGCUGAAAAAUAUUCCAGGGAUUCACUUUUAUUCUUAUGCUUACAACUGAGAUAUGUAACUUUCAGCAGAAGGAGUUAAUUUCCUGUCUCAUUCAGCAUCAGUGUUCUUAGGCUGAAGGCAUCGACACAUUUUCUUCUCUGUGAACUGCUCAAACACCAGGGAUUAAAGUGAGCAUAGAACAAAACAAAGCUGCAUCUCGGUGCUCCUUUUCACAUUCCUAUUCAGAGAUCAGAGUGGUCGCCAUAUAACAGAGAGAAGGACUGCAACUCAUUUCAAGAGUCUUUCCUCGGGCCCUGAGACUCAUAUCAGGAACCCAAAACCUCUCUGGCUCUGCUGUCAGCGAAAACCAAGGUGAGUCUCAUUGAGAAAACUGGAGAAAACUCUUAUUGCAAUCCCAGGAAAACCCAUUGAUCAGCCACAGUGCCAGCUGCAUGUCUGUGAGAAGUGUGAGUACAUAAAUUGUACGAUGAAACCUCAAUGAGAGAUGCAGAGCUGUUUCCUGCACUUAAAUCUUUUUGUAAUGGCCUUAAAAACUGCUGUGAUUGUGUAUGCUAAAACCCUUCCUUUGAGACAGAAAUAACUGCAAUUAUUAAUUUAGUCAUCUGUGUAGUUUAUAAUUCCAGGACGUUUAGAGGUAAGGCACUUUGCACUCAAUAUGCAAUUUCCAAAGGUAAUACCUGACAAAACGAAGGCUUACAGUGACAGCAUCAUUGAGCUUUAUCCUAAGGAGUUAAAUGAGUUCAAAACCUAUCAUCAGUCACUGAUAGGAUUUGCUUCUAUCUGCCUAAAUCCUGCAUAAAGUGCCAGUGAAUUGUUAAAAGCUAAAGAUGAUAAUUAGACAGCCUAAUAUAAACCUGCAAAAGAAUGGUAUUAUUAGGAGUAAAGUGCUGUAUUAUUGCCAUUUGUAAAGUAGUUCCCGAUUUUGGCAGUACGUGUUGUAUUACUCUCUCCUCUCUUAAUGGAAUAUCGGAGAAAAACCAAACUGAGCAAGCCAUUGCAGAUGCCGAGACCCUCAAAACACUGAGCUUUCCUCAUGAGACAUUCCAGGCUUAGGUGCUAAAACACUGCAUCAGAAUUAAGUCAUACCUCCUGGCAUGAAUCAGCUGCUAAAUCCAGUUCAGUCGUGUAUCUCUGAUACAAGUUCCUCCUGGACAACUGCAGUGUGGAGUAAGGUGCCAAAGGAACCUCCAGACCCAGGUGCUAGAGGCACCGCUGAG